AACGAACGCUGGCGGCAGGCCUAACACAUGCAAGUCGAGCGAGGUAGCAAUACCUAGCGGCGGACGGGUGAGUAACGCGUGGGAACGUACCCUUUGCUACGGAAUAGCCCCGGGAAACUGGGAGUAAUACCGUAUGUGCCCUUCGGGGGAAAGAUUUAUCGGCAAAGGAUCGGCCCGCGUUGGAUUAGGUAGUUGGUGGGGUAAUGGCCUACCAAGCCGACGAUCCAUAGCUGGUUUGAGAAGAUGAUCAGCCACACUGGGACUGAGACACGGCCCAGACUCCUACGGGAGGCAGCAGUGGGGAAUCUUAGACAAUGGGCGCAAGCCUGAUCUAGCCAUGCCGCGUGAGUGAUGAAGGCCUUAGGGUUGUAAAGCUCUUUCAGAUGGGAAGAUAAUGACGGUACCAUCAGAAGAAGCCCCGGCUAACUCCGUGCCAGCAGCCGCGGUAAAG
RNAcentral lists this ribosomal RNA (451 nucleotides) under uncultured bacterium. RNAcentral's name for it is "bacterial SSU rRNA". It matches the Rfam family "Bacterial small subunit ribosomal RNA", at positions 29 to 525 of the family's 1533-position model. The record is from RNAcentral.